Molecule: ribosomal RNA, 301 nt
Filed under: uncultured bacterium
Lineage: Bacteria
Description: partial 16S ribosomal RNA
Rfam family: Archaeal small subunit ribosomal RNA
Source: RNAcentral
CAGCCGCCGCGGUAAUACCAGCACCUCGAGUGGUCAGGAGGUUUAUUGGGCCUAAAGCAUCCGUAGCCGGUUGCAUAAGUUUUCGGUUAAAUCUAUGCGCUUAACGUAUAGGCCGCCGAAAAUACUGUGCAGCUAGGGAGUGGGAGAGGUACACGGUACUCGAUAGGAAGGGGUAAAAUCCUUUGAUCUAUUGAUGACCACCUGUGGCGAAGGCGGUGUACCAGAACACGUUCGACGGUGAGGGAUGAAAGCUGGGGGAGCAAACCGGAUUAGAUACCCCCGUAGUCCCUGUCUCUUAUAC